Molecule: ribosomal RNA, 528 nt
Filed under: uncultured bacterium
Lineage: Bacteria
Description: bacterial SSU rRNA
Rfam family: Bacterial small subunit ribosomal RNA
Source: RNAcentral
AGAGUUUGAUCCUGGCUCAGGACGAACGCUGGCGGCGCGCUUAACACAUGCAAGUCGAGCGAGAACCAGUCCUUCGGGACUGGGGACAGCGGCGAACGGGUGAGUAACACGUAGGUAAUCUGCCCUCGGCACCGGAAUAGCCCGGGGAAACCCGGAUUAAUGCCGGAUGGCCUCUCUGCCCUACGGGGCGGCGAGAAAAGGUAGCUUCGGCCUCCGGCCGAGGAUGAGCCCGCGGCCGAUUAGCUUGUUGGUGAGGUAACGGCUCACCAAGGCGACGAUCGGUAGCUGGUCUGAGAGGACGAUCAGCCACACUGGGACUGAGACACGGCCCAGACUCCUACGGGAGGCAGCAGUGGGGAAUCUUGCGCGAUGGGCGAAAGCCUGACGCAGCGACGCCGCGUGCGGGAAGAAGGCCUUCGGGUUGUAAACCGCUUUCAGGAGGGACGAAGCCACUCGGGUAAAUAGCCUAGAGGGUGACCGGACCUCCAGAAGAAGCCCCGGGCUAACUACGUGCCAGCAGCCGCGGUA